GGCAAGUCUGUUCGUGUCUUUUGCGGUAAUCAUCAUCAAAAACCGAAUGACACUCCAGAUACUCGAGUUUUAUUCUCUUUCUUUUCAGUUUCGCUUGGGAGCCCCCUUCUUCUUGGGAGCCCCCUUCGAGAAUUUGUUAUGUCACAGAGGAGAUUCAGUCAUCUGGCGAUACUAAAUACCGAAUGUACUCUGUACUCAUGUCCAAGAACG
Paramuricea clavata is the source of this 210-nucleotide non-coding RNA. NCBI's taxonomy places the organism in Eukaryota, Metazoa, Cnidaria, Anthozoa, Malacalcyonacea, Plexauridae. The record is from the annotation of a GenBank genome assembly.